CCUACGGGUGGCAGCAGUGGGGAAUAUUGCACAAUGGGGGAAACCCUGAUGCAGCAACGCCGCGUGAAGGAAGACGGCUUUCGGAUUGUAAAAUUCUGUUCUUAGUGAAGAAUAAUGACGGUAGCGAAGGAGCAAGCAACGGCUAACUACGGGCCAGCAGCCGCGGUAAUACGUAGGUGGCAAGCGUUGUCCGGAAUUACUGGGGGUAAAGGAAGCGCAGGCGGGAAGCCAAGUCAGCUGGGAAAACUGCGGGCUUAACUUGUAGACUGCAGUUGAAACUGGUUUUCUUGAGUGCAGUAGAGGUUGGCGGAAUUCCGAGUGUAGCGGUGAAAUGCGUAGAUAUUCGGAGGAACACCGGUGGCGAAGGCGGCCAGCUGGGCUUUAACUGACGCUGAGGCUCGAAAGUGUGGGGAGCAAACAGGAUUAGAUACCCCAGUAGUC
This 441-nucleotide ribosomal RNA is filed under the name uncultured bacterium. RNAcentral's name for it is "partial 16S ribosomal RNA". It matches the Rfam family "Bacterial small subunit ribosomal RNA", at positions 338 to 795 of the family's 1533-position model. The record is from RNAcentral.